GACGAACGCUGGCGGCGGGCUUAACACAUGCAAGUCGAACGGAAAGGCCCUGCGUUUGUGGUGUGCUCGGGUGGCGAACGGGUGAGUAACACGUGAGUAACCGGCCCUUGACUUUGGGAGAACUUCAGGAAAGUGGGGCUAAGACCGGAUAGGAGCUGCUGCUGCAUGGUGGGGGGUGGAAAGUUGCGGCGGGUGGGGAUGGACUCGCGGCUGAUCAGCUUGUUGGUGGGGGAGGGGCUGACCAAGGCUGUGACGGGUACCCGGCCGGAGAGGGUGACCGGCCACAUUGGUCCUACGAUACGGCCCAGAGUCCUACGGGAGGCAGUAGUGGCGAAUCUUGUCCAAUCAGACCAAGCCUGAUGCAGCAACGCCGCGUGCGGGAUGACGGCCUUCGGGUUGUAAACCGCUUUCGCCUGUGACGCCGCGUGAGUGACGGUAAUCAGUAAAGAAGCACCGGCUAACUACGUG
Molecule: ribosomal RNA, 468 nt
Filed under: uncultured bacterium
Lineage: Bacteria
Description: partial 16S ribosomal RNA
Rfam family: Bacterial small subunit ribosomal RNA
Source: RNAcentral